RNAcentral lists this ribosomal RNA (502 nucleotides) under uncultured bacterium. RNAcentral describes it as "bacterial SSU rRNA". It matches the Rfam family "Bacterial small subunit ribosomal RNA", at positions 28 to 521 of the family's 1533-position model. The record is from RNAcentral.
GAUGAACGCUAGCGACAGGCUUAACACAUGCAAGUCGAGGGGCAGCAUAAAAGUAGCAAUACUUUGGUGGCGACCGGCGCACGGGUGAGUAACGCGUAUGCAACCUACCUAUCAGAGGGGGAUAACCCGGCGAAAGUCGGACUAAUACCGCAUAAAACAGGGGCACCGCAUGGUGAUAUUUGUUAAAAAUUUAUUGCUGAUAGAUGGGCAUGCGUUCCAUUAGGUAGUUGGAGAGGUAACGGCUCACCAAGCCUACGAUGGAUAGGGGAACUGAGAGGUUGGUCCCCCACACUGGUACUGAGACACGGACCAGACUCCUACGGGAGGCAGCAGUGAGGAAUAUUGGUCAAUGGGCGAGAGCCUGAACCAGCCAAGUCGCGUGAAGGAAGAAGGAUCUAUGGUUCGUAAACUUCUUUUGCAGGGGAAUAAAGUGCAGGACGUGUCCUGUUUUGUAUGUACCCUGAGAAUAAGGAUCGGCUAACUCCGUGCCAGCAGCCGCGGU